Molecule: ribosomal RNA, 275 nt
Filed under: uncultured bacterium
Lineage: Bacteria
Description: partial 16S ribosomal RNA
Rfam family: Bacterial small subunit ribosomal RNA
Source: RNAcentral
GCGUGAGUGAUGAAGGCCUUAGGGUUGUAAAGCUCUUUCACCGGGGACGAUGAUGACGGUACCCGGAGAAGAAGCCCCGGCUAACUUCGUGCCAGCAGCCGCGGUAAUACGAAGGGGGCAAGCGUUGUUCGGAAUUACUGGGCGUAAAGGGCGCGUAGGCGGCCGCUCAAGUCAGGUGUGAAAUCCCCGGGCUCAACCUGGGAACUGCACUUGAAACUGUGUGGCUUGAAUCCGUGAGAGGUUGGUGGAAUUCCCAGUGUAGAGGUGAAAUUCGU